AAACUGCGAUACGUAGUGUGAAUUGCAGAAUUCCGUGAAUCAUCGAGUCUUUGAACGCAAAUUGCGCCCUCGGUUUGAAGCCGGGGGCACGUCUGUCUGAGCGUCCGUU
RNAcentral lists this ribosomal RNA (109 nucleotides) under Ephydatia muelleri. RNAcentral describes it as "partial 5.8S ribosomal RNA". It matches the Rfam family "5.8S ribosomal RNA", at positions 50 to 154 of the family's 154-position model. From Rfam's summary of the family: 5.8S ribosomal RNA (5.8S rRNA) is a component of the large subunit of the eukaryotic ribosome. It is transcribed by RNA polymerase I as part of the 45S precursor that also contains 18S and 28S rRNA. The record is from RNAcentral. Lineage: Eukaryota; Metazoa; Porifera; Demospongiae; Spongillida; Spongillidae. RNAcentral also lists the same sequence under 7 other names.